UCUGUGCAGUGUACACUAACCCAUUUUUGUGUCUGUUUCUUGAAUUAAAAAAAUAAUAUCUAUGACAUACUCAAGCAGUUAUACCACCCAAUAAAAUGUUGCCACCCUUAGUAUGGAGGACACUACUCUUUCCUGAACUGCAAAUGGAGAAGCCAGGGGAGCAGAGAGCAAUGGAGAAGGAGAACACGCUGUCCCCUCUCCACAAGGGAGGAGGAAGACUGCAGGCCCCUCGUGAUUGCACCAUUACCCAGCUCCAGACUCAACCCUCCUCUCCACCCUCCUCACAAGAGAGAUACAGGGAUGUUCUACAACCAUAAAUCUGGUCACUUCCAUCCCCUGCUUAGGCCUGGGCCAUGGUCAGUGCCCUCAGGAUAGACUGGAGUUCUCCAAGGGCCCAUAAAAAUGCCCCAGCCUUGCUGCCCACUCCAGUCUCCUCUUCCUGCCUUGCAUUCUGGCCUCUGGGUUCAGCUUUGUCGAAACAGGCACAGUUCUCAUUCAUUCUUGAAAUAGUAGCUCAAAUGUCUUCUUCUCCUAGAAGACAUCGCUGGCCUUCCAGGCUGGGUGAGGCAACCACUGUGGGCUCCCAAGCCUUUACGCGUCCCCAACCCAGCCCUGACUCUCUGAGUCAUCAAGGCCUGAGGACAAUCUGUGUUCCCAGUGAUGGCACAUGGCCCGCUAUUAUGUCUCUGCUGUGUCCUCUGCAGCACGUCGGGGUAGCAGGGACCAGCUUGCAAGCUUGAAGUGUGCAGAUGGAACACAGAGCACUCCAGCCACCCAGGCAGAUAUCAGAGGAUGGGCCCUCAGGCACUGAUUCCUGUCUGUCACCUGGGAGAGGCUCCCUGAGGCCAGGUGGAAAUCAUACCCGGAUGCCACCAGAAUGAUGAUUCAGCCCUUUCCGUGCUUGUUCCAGAGGGGAAGCCCAUGAAAGGAGGACAGCCAGUGCUCUCCUGUGUGCCACGUUCCAGAAGCUCAGGUCUCCCACCAGCAGCUGGGGUUGUGGGAAAG
This 1005-nucleotide long non-coding RNA is filed under the name Homo sapiens (human). Its description in RNAcentral is "non-protein coding lnc-IGFL1-1:1". Lineage: Eukaryota; Metazoa; Chordata; Mammalia; Primates; Hominidae. The record is from RNAcentral.